AUUGAACGCUGGCGGCAUGCUUUACACAUGCAAGUCGAACGGUAACAGGUUAAGCUGACGAGGCGCGAACGGUAAAGUAAUGCAUCGGAACGUGCCCGUACGUGGGGGAUAACCCUUCGAAAGAAGUGCUAAUACCCCAUACGAUCUGAGUAUGAAAGCGGUGGACCGUAAGGCCUCGCGCGACUGGAUCGGCCGAUGUCAGAUUAGGUAGUUGGUGGGGUAAAGGCUCACCAAGCCGACGAUUUGUAGCUGGUCUGAGAGGACGACCAGCCACACUGGGACUGAGACACGGCCCAGACUCCUACGGGAGGCAGCAGUGGGGAAUUUUGGACAAUGGGCGCAAGCCUGAUCCAGCAAUGCCGCGUGCAGGAAGAAGGCCUUCGGGUUGUAAACUGCUUUUGUACGGAGCGAAAAGGCUCCCUCUAAUACAGGGGGUUCAUGACGGUACCGUAAGAAUAAGCACCGGCUAACUACGUGCCAGCCGCCGCAGUAA
Molecule: ribosomal RNA, 493 nt
Filed under: uncultured bacterium
Lineage: Bacteria
Description: partial 16S ribosomal RNA
Rfam family: Bacterial small subunit ribosomal RNA
Source: RNAcentral